AUGCCAAUGGCUCCAAGUUGUCUUUGCUGCUGGACUCCAGAUCCCAUCUGACAUGACACUGGUGAUGGAGGGAUUGGUGACAGAGGGACACAAUGGUGCAGCAGCAUGGAUUGCCUUCCCAAGCUUUCCAAAGGUCUCAGAGAGCUUUCUGCCGGCAGCGAGAGACUAAACUUCGGAGGAGCCUGACCCCGGGAUUAUCCGAGGGAAGACAUGUGCUCGCUGUUCGGGAGUCACCAUCUGCGAGGGAGAUGCCGGGCAGCGGAGACGCGUGGCAGGGACACGGCUGCAUCUGCCCAGGAUGAACAGGGACCUCAAUUCCUGAGCAUCCUCCCAGCCCUGCCCCGUGCCUUUAUCACCGCGACGAGUUUCUGCUCGACGGGAGGGUUCCUGGGCUUUUCUAUUCCUUUCCCACCAAGCCUCCAGCCCAGCUCCGGGGGACUUUCCCCUCCUCCCUCAAUCAGCCCCGGCGGGUCCAUUUGCUUUUGUCUCCCAUUAAUUGCUUGCUACUUUUCAUUGCCUGCUCCUCCCCCUUUUAAAGAUAAAUUUUAAAGCCCGAGCGGGGUGGAGAAUGGCUGAGCCCGCUGUUAUUUUUGACAUUCGCCCCAGUGACAGCUGGACCUUGCAAGGCUGGGGCCGUUCGCACACAAAGCCUAUUAGCUAUGCCCACUCACUUAAUGAGCCCUGAAGUCUGGAAGGAAAAUUUCCUCCCCUAAGUGUGGCAGAGCCCUUUGUCAUUGUAAACAGGCGCUGCUUGCCGAGCCCUGCCUUGCCUUUCUCCUUCCUGCCACCGUGGCUUUUCUAUUUACUCAGGAAACAAAAGCGGAGCCGUGUCAGCGCGCAGGGAAGAAAAUGUACCCAGCGACUGGGGCUCGCAGGGACCCGCCUCUGCCACCCACCGACCGCAGCCAGGGCUCCUCGGUGUCACCGGCACCAAGGGGACACCUUGGAUGGGCUGCGGGAGAUGCUCCCGGCAUUGCAGAACCUCAGCUGCUCCUGCAGGGACCGGCUGUGCAGCCCAGAGCAGCCCGGGGAAAUCAUUCCUUCACCUGAGCACGGUUCAAGUGUGCUUGAGAGCUGGACCUCGAGGAUGUCCUCAUGCCAUUGCUUCCCUGGGCUGUCCCUGGUGAGAACUUCCAAGAGGCUUCAGAAAAGCAGCUCCCAGCCUGUGACAUCUCUAUAUUCACUGCAUCUCCUGCUUGUUCCUGUUGUUCCUGUGCUGACACCAGCCCACAUGGAUGAGGAUUCCUGUGCCCAGCUUGUCACAUCCUCUCCUGAACAGUGUGCCAUCGAGACAGGAUGGAGACAGAACUGGAAUAAACCAAG
Molecule: long non-coding RNA, 1323 nt
Filed under: Zonotrichia albicollis (white-throated sparrow)
Lineage: Eukaryota; Metazoa; Chordata; Aves; Passeriformes; Passerellidae
Description: lncRNA (ENSZALG00000010055.1)
Source: RNAcentral